GAUGAACGCUGGCGGCGUGCCUAAUACAUGCAAGUCGAGCGAACAGACGAGGAGCUUGCCCCUCUGACGUUAGCGGCGGACGGGUGAGUAACACGUGGAUAACCUACCUAUAAGACUGGGAUAACUUCGGGAAACCGGAGCUAAUACCGGAUAAUAUAUUGAACCGCAUGGUUCAAUAGUGAAAGACGGUUUUGCUGUCACUUAUAGAUGGAUCCGCGCCGCAUUAGCUAGUUGGUAAGGUAACGGCUUACCAAGGCAACGAUGCGUAGCCGACCUGAGAGGGUGAUCGGCCACACUGGAACUGAGACACGGUCCAGGCUCCUACGGGAGGCAGCAGUAGGGAAUCUUCCGCAAUGGGCGAAAGCCUGACGGAGCAACGCCGCGUGAGUGAUGAAGGUCUUCGGAUCGUAAAACUCUGUUAUUAGGGAAGAACAAAUGUGUAAGUAACUAUGCACGUCUUGACGGUACCUAAUCAGAAAGCCACGGCUAACUACGUG
RNAcentral lists this ribosomal RNA (497 nucleotides) under uncultured bacterium. RNAcentral's name for it is "partial 16S ribosomal RNA". It matches the Rfam family "Bacterial small subunit ribosomal RNA", at positions 28 to 507 of the family's 1533-position model. The record is from RNAcentral.